This 157-nucleotide ribosomal RNA is filed under the name uncultured bacterium. RNAcentral describes it as "partial 16S ribosomal RNA". It matches the Rfam family "Bacterial small subunit ribosomal RNA", at positions 355 to 509 of the family's 1533-position model. The record is from RNAcentral.
UGAGGAAUAUUGGUCAAUGGGCGGGAGCCUGAACCAGCCAAGUCGCGUGAGGGAUGACGGCCCUAUGGGUUGUAAACCUCUUUUGCCGGGGAGCAAAGUGCCGCACGUGUGCGGUUUGGAGAGUACCCGGAGAAAAAGCAUCGGCUAACUCCGUGCC